GACGAACGCUGGCGGCGUGCCUAAUACAUGCAAGUCGAGCGAAGUUUUUCUGGUGCUUUCACUAGAAAAACUUAGCGUCGCACGCGUGAGUAACACGUAAAGAACCUGCCUCAUAGACUGGGACAACUAUUGGAAACGAUAGCUAAUUCCCGAUAACAGUCUUUCUCGCAUGAGAGAUAUUUAACAGUUGUUUAUGCUAACACUAUGAGAUGGCUUUGCGGUGCAUUAGCUAGUUGGUGGGGUAAAGGCCCACCAAGGCGACGAUGCAUAGCCGACCUGAGAGGGUGAUCGGCAACACUGGGACUGAGACACGGCCCAGACUCCUACGGGAGGCAGCAGUAGGGAAUAUUCCGCAAUGGGCGAAAGCCUGACGGAGCAACGCCGCGUGAGUGAAGAAGGAUUUCGGUUCGUAAAGCUCUGUUGUUAGGGAAGAAUGGAUAUGGAGUAACAAUACAUGUAAGAGACGGUACCUAACCAGAAAGCCACGGCUAACUACGUG
RNAcentral lists this ribosomal RNA (499 nucleotides) under uncultured bacterium. RNAcentral's name for it is "partial 16S ribosomal RNA". It matches the Rfam family "Bacterial small subunit ribosomal RNA", at positions 28 to 507 of the family's 1533-position model. The record is from RNAcentral.